AAUAUGACUCUCGGCAAUGGAUAUCUCAGCUCUCUCCAUGAUGAAGAAUGUAGUGAAAUGCGAUACUUAGUGUGAAUUGCAGAAUCCCGUGAAUCAUCGAGUCUUUGAACGCAAGUUGUGCCCGAGGCCUCGGCUGAGGGCACGCCUGCUUGGGCGUCGUAC
Molecule: ribosomal RNA, 162 nt
Filed under: Torreya nucifera (Japanese torreya)
Lineage: Eukaryota; Viridiplantae; Streptophyta; Pinopsida; Cupressales; Taxaceae
Description: 5.8S ribosomal RNA
Rfam family: 5.8S ribosomal RNA
About the family: 5.8S ribosomal RNA (5.8S rRNA) is a component of the large subunit of the eukaryotic ribosome. It is transcribed by RNA polymerase I as part of the 45S precursor that also contains 18S and 28S rRNA.
Source: RNAcentral